UCGCAAUCCGCCAGCCCGGUGAAGCCGGGGUCGCGGAAGGUUUGGCAACCCAUCGGAGCCCGCGCAGACCGCAGGCGAAAGGUGAGCG
This is a non-coding RNA of Rubrivivax sp. SCN 71-131, 88 nucleotides long. Lineage: Bacteria; Pseudomonadati; Pseudomonadota; Betaproteobacteria; Burkholderiales; Sphaerotilaceae. The record is from Rfam.